RNAcentral lists this ribosomal RNA (253 nucleotides) under uncultured bacterium. RNAcentral describes it as "partial 16S ribosomal RNA". It matches the Rfam family "Bacterial small subunit ribosomal RNA", at positions 524 to 776 of the family's 1533-position model. The record is from RNAcentral.
GACAGAGGGUGCAAACGUUGUUCGGAAUUACUGGGCGUAAAGCGAGUGUAGGCGGUGUGGUAAGUCGGAUGUGAAAGCCCCGGGCUCAACCCGGGAAGUGCACUCGAUACUGCCACGCUAGAGUAUCGGAGAGGUUGGUGGAAUUCUCGGUGUAGAGGUGAAAUUCGUAGAUAUCGAGAGGAACACCGGUGGCGAAGGCAGCUCGCUGGGACGUUACUGACACUGAGGCGCGAAAGCGUGGGGAGCGAACAGG